This is a long non-coding RNA of Eriocheir sinensis (Chinese mitten crab), 2513 nucleotides long. RefSeq lists it as uncharacterized. The transcript is spliced from 2 exons. NCBI's taxonomy places the organism in Eukaryota, Metazoa, Arthropoda, Malacostraca, Decapoda, Varunidae. The record is from RefSeq and is a predicted model, not a curated record.
UCUUUCCCCUUCUGUCUCUCUCCGGCAUAUGACCACAGAUGUUGAGACCACUAAACCAAACUUUCCAACUGUUCCCUUCUCCUAUAAUUCCUUCCCCUUCUGUCUCUCUCCGGCAUAUGACCACAGAUGUUGCGUCCACUAAACCAAACUUUCCAACUGUUCCCUUCUCCUAUAAUUCCUUCCCCUUCUGUCUCUCUCCGGCAUAUGACCACAGAUGUUGCGCCCACUAAACCAAACUUUCCAACUGUUCCCUUCUCCUAUAAUUCCUUCCCCUUCUGUCUCUCUCCGGCAUAUGACCACAGAUGUUGUGCCCACUAAACAAAACUUUCCAACUGUUCCCUUCUAUAAUUCCUUCCCCUUCUGUCUCUCUCCGGCAUAUUACCACAGAUGUUGCGCCCACUAAACCAAACUUUCUAACCUAGAGCACAAAGAAAACACCACUCUAUUAGCAUCAGUUUGAAUUUCACAUGGCUCUUUCGGUGACAUAUACGCCUCCGUAGUCUAGUGGUCAGCGUGCCUGGCUUCCACUCCGCGGGCCCAGGUUUGAAUCCCGGCCCGGGCAGUCGGCGUGCAGCUCACCCGGCUGUUCAUUCUCCCUCUGGGGCUGGUGGAUAAAUGGGUACCUGGGGAAACCUGGGGAAGGUAAACUGUGGUAACCUGGAUGUCACGCUGGUCCUGUGUCCCGGGGUAAUGGGCUUCCUCCCACCACAGGCUCAAGGGCCAAUGUUACGGAGAUGAGCGCCAAGGCCAUGCGCUGCUACAGUGUAUGCCCCAAACUUUACCUUUUCGAUGACAAAAUUAUGCCGGUGAUCAAGGUGGCCAAGCUCUCCUAUUCAGUGGCUUGAAGGGAAGUGUGUGUGGAUGGUUUGUUUGCUUGCUUAUGUGGUUUGAUUUCCUCACCACAACUUUGCCAGGUUGCUGUACUCCGCCUUUAACCCGGUAGCAGCGACGGGCCAAAACCGCCCUGCGCCAUAUCCGAGAUUGCCGUGCGCGCCAAAUUUCAAAUGUCGCUAUUGAAUAUAACAAGUUUUCAGCCAUAAACUCAACACAAUCAUCAUGUAUUAUAUAUGAAAACAUGCAGAAUUAAAUGGUGCACAUAAAGAAACAUAAAUUAACUGAUAAUUUUGAGAUGUAAGCAUGAAUAUAAAGAUAAGAUAAUUCGUAUAUUAGCUCAAGGGGGAAAGUUUUCAAUCUUGGAUGAAAAAAUAAUAAGAAAAAAAAAAUCACAUGAAUCAGUUGUAGCAGUGCGGAGAUUAUAAAUACGUUGCCAGGCCUAAAACCCUGUUCUUUCCCUUUAAAAUUUAAAGGUCUCGUAGCACGUGGGUCUGCUAAGCCACGCCCCUCUCCCUACUCAUGUCUUUCUUGUUAGUUUUUAUGCGUUUUCACGCAUAAAAUGGAAUAUUCUUUCUUCCUAAACAAGUGUACGAGACUUUUGGUUGUCGGUACUCAGCCCGCGUCGUCCCGGGCCCCGGCAACACGACUCAGAACCUCCAUAGCCUCGUACGUGACUGUACGUACAGCCUUUCUCUUGCCCUUUUCCUCAAUCGGAGACAGUUUACGGCCUGCAGUGCUGUGUUGAAGCUCAACAAUGGGCAGAAAAAGCAGAAGGCAUGUUGAACUGAGUAAAAGAGCUACGGGAAGGUGGAAAAGUUACUGGCAAGAUACAAAAGAACGUACUAUAUCCCAGCCGCCUGCCCGACCACAAGCACCUCACGCUGCUGGUACUGCUCCCGCCCUCACUCCCCAGCCUGUUGUCGAGAGAGAUGUGACUGCCGCGGAACUCAGACAUAGCCUAAUACCUGCAGAGCUCAGGGAGGCGAAGGAUAAAGACGAGGAGGAUAACAGACUCGUGAUAAUGUCUGUUCAUAGACCGAAACAGUUGCUUAGCAUGAUCAAGUGUGACUCUGUGGCGGUGAAGUGGUGAAUUACAUCAAGGCCAAGUACUUUGAUUGUUAUGUGAGUGCUAAAUGCAGUGAGUGUAGGAUGCUGGUGUUACACAAUGGUACAGGUCACCCCUUUGUUAUGUGAGUGUAGGAUGAUGGUGUUACACAAUGGUACAGGUCACCCCUUUGUUAUGUGAGUGUAGGAUGAUGGUGUUACACAAUGGUACAGGUCACCCCUUUGUUAUGUGAGUGUAGGAUGAUGGUGUUACACAAUGGUACAGGUCACCCCUUUGUUAUGUGAGUGUAGGAUGGUGGUGUUACACAAUGGUACAGGUCACCCCUUUGUUAUGUGAGUGUAGGAUGAUGGUGUUACACAAUGGUACAGGUCACCCCUUUGUUAUGUGAGUGUAGGAUGAUGGUGUUACACAGUGGUACAGGUCACCCCUUUGUUAUGUGAGUGUAGGAUGAUGGUGUUACACAAUGGUACAGGUCACCCCUUUGUUAUGUGAGUGUAGGAUGAUGGUGUUACACAAUGGUACAGGUCACCCCUUUGUUAUGUGAGUGUAGGAUGGUGGUGUUACACAAUGGUACAGGUCACCCCUUUGUUAUGUGAGUGUAGGAUGAUGGUGU